Molecule: long non-coding RNA, 2333 nt
Organism: Nyctereutes procyonoides (raccoon dog)
Lineage: Eukaryota; Metazoa; Chordata; Mammalia; Carnivora; Canidae
Exons: 4
Source: RefSeq, a predicted model, not a curated record
GGCAACUGGAAAUAUUGGUGCUGGCUCUGAGAAAGCCCAUGACUCUGGUGGCCAAGUAGCAGAUCCUCUGCCAGCUGGUGGUCUCCAGCUCUGCCUGCGACAGGAUUGAAAUCAGAUCUUAUUGACCUGUCCCCUGGGCUGAAGAGUGACCUCUCUGUAGUGAAGUAUCAACUGGACUUGGAGGAUUUAGAAGAGGGAUGGAUUCACUUGGCAAGGCACAUGGAGAUUAUGCGCAGACACCAGAAGGUUAAGGUUGUCACGUUGUUUCACGUUGGCCGAGUGUCAAAGGAAAGAGCCUCAAAGGAAAAGAGCCACCUCAAAGGAAAGAGCCAGAUAGAAUCAGCAGAAGCAUGCCCCGGAAUGCCUAAGGAUCUUUUACGGUUUACCUUGUUCUUCUAUAACUCGACCUUCUUAUACAGCAUUUCUGUUAAUUUUGACAAGGUUAUUUAUAAGGUUUUAGCUUAAAUGUCUCUAAAUAUAGCCUCAGCACUGUAUUUUUAAUCAAUUUAUCCCAGUUAUCAAUAUACGUGGGUAGCAAACCACCCUAUACUCAAUGGUUUAACAAACAAUUAAUUUGUGCUCUCAUUGUUCCAUGGGUUGACUAGGCUCAUCUGAGGUGCCCUUAGUUGGGUUUCUUAUUGGGUCACAGAUGCUCAAGGCAUCUGAAGGCUCAACUGUGCUGGAUGCCCAGGACGGCUCCCCCACAGGCCUAGCAGUUGAUGCUAUCGGUUGAAGGUCUAAGCAAAGCUUGUCACCAAUACGUGGCCUUAACAUGGAAGCUGAGUUCGAGGAGGGAGUCCACUAAGGGUAAGUAUUUCAGAGUCCCAGGCAAAAGCUGUAAGACGUCUUAUCAUCUGGUCUUAGAAAAUAUUCAGCAUCACUUCUGCCCUAUUCUUUUGCUCAAAAAGUGAGUCACAGGGGCGGCCCAGAUUCAAGAGGAGGACAGUAUGCAAAGAUGUGAACGUUGGAGGCAUGGGUCACUGGGGGACUAGCUUUGAAAAUUAGCACACAACUUAUAUAGAUUUAGGUACACAAGGGUUUAAAGUUAAUUAAAAAAUCAUAUACACAGAGGCAAGUUUUAUCACCUUAAGACAGGGACAAGAAUGCCUUGAAAUUGUACUUCACGUUUAUUUCAAUAUCAUAUAGCACUUUUUAAUACAAUUGUUGGAGGAGAUUUAAAAAAAAUAAGGGGGGGCACCUGGGUGGCUCAGUGGGUUAAUCAUCUGCCUCUGGCUCAGGUCAGGAUCCCAGGGUUCUGGGAUUGAGCCCCACAUCGGUCUCCUUGCUCAUUGGGGAGCCUUCUUUUCCCUCUCUCUCUGCUCCCCAUGCCCCCACUCAUGCUCACUGUCUCUGAAAUAAAUAAAAUCUUAAACAAAAAAUAAAGGGCAUUGGUGUCUAGGAGGCAGUCCAAUGGUGACUUUAAGUAUGGCAACUUUAAGCGGGCAGAAGCAAUUCUCUAAAGUUAUAAAAACAUAAUGAGACACUUUCCAAAUGAUAUGGCAUCAUUGUAGAUUUUGGGCAAACCAUGAUAACCAUUUUGUUAUGAGAGCAGGGUAGCUGGUGAGCAAAAGGGCAGAGGAGAUAAUGAGAGGCAGCCUUUGUAGUUGAAAACCAGUCAUUCUUACUUGGUUUUUGUUAUUUUCAGUCAGAGACCCUUUGGAGUAUAUGACAGAAAUUUAGGAAAUUUUUGCUCAGAAAUGUAGGAAAAUGGCUGUUACCUUUGUUCCUCCCUCCUCCUUCUCUUCCUUUAUUCUUCUACAAUUAUUUACAUACAGAGAGCUGUACCAGGCACUGAUAUGGACCAAGGGAUAGAAUAGGGAAGAAGACAGGGAAGAACAAUUAUAUGUAGUGUCAUUGGAAGUGACUUUCCUAACCAACGAAGAGCUCGUGGUUCCUUUCGAAAUUUCCUAAAGUACUGCUGCUAUUGAGGAUGAAAACGUGCACAGAACUUUCCACAGCUUUAUUACCACCGUCUUCGCUCUCCUCUCUGCUGCAUCUUCCCCAGGAGCUAUCUGCUUACCCCUAUUAAAAAAAAUGGAAUGGAUCAAAUAGCCAUGGAUUCACAUUUCGAAUUCUCAAUUUACAGGACACUCGGAGGACCUACACUUUGAUCCACCUUCUCUAGAUGACAGUGAAGGAUGGAUGAUUUGGAGGUUUAUUUUUUUCUCUAUGUUUUUACGUUCUCACCUCAAAUUGUACUUCUGGCUUUAGUAAUUAUAGCAUCCUAAGGGUAGCGGGGAGAGGUUUAAACAUGCAAUCUUUGUCAACAUUUUAAGUAUUUCCAUUACCACAGCUCAUAGCUUUUGCAAAAAUGAUAUACAAACGUCCACCUA